GCCCUUCCAGUUCCUUGUGUGCUAAGAGAUAUGCCCUUUCAAAGUUGACUCUCCAAAUCGCAUUUUUUGCGAUUUUCGAAUUUUGAUACGGUUGCUCUAAAAUUCGGGUUAGACCCAUUUCCCACUCAAUUUGACCCCCUGCAUAAGAAUAUGAAGUCGAAUUUCCAAAAUCAUGCACGGAUUUUGAGAUAUAUGGAAAUUACAAUUAUAGGUGUUUCCGAAGCAC
This 226-nucleotide long non-coding RNA is filed under the name Solanum tuberosum (potato). RNAcentral's name for it is "long non-coding RNA (STUB_LNC011377)". The record is from RNAcentral. Lineage: Eukaryota; Viridiplantae; Streptophyta; Magnoliopsida; Solanales; Solanaceae.